Molecule: ribosomal RNA, 478 nt
Filed under: uncultured bacterium
Lineage: Bacteria
Description: partial 16S ribosomal RNA
Rfam family: Bacterial small subunit ribosomal RNA
Source: RNAcentral
GACGAACGCUGGCGGCGUGCUUAACACAUGCAAGUCGAACGGUAAGGCCCUUCGGGGUACACGAGUGGCGAACGGGUGAGUAACACGUGGGUGAUCUGCCCUGCACUUCGGGAUAAGCCUGGGAAACUGGGUCUAAUACCGGAUAGGACUCCUGGCUUCAUGGUUGGGGGUGGAAAGCUUUUGCGGUGUGGGAUGGGCCCGCGGCCGAUCAGCUUGUUGGUGGGGUAAUGGCCUACCAAGGCGACGACGGGUAGCCGGCCUGAGAGGGUGACCGGUCAGACUGGGACGGAGAUACGGCCCAGGCUCCUACGGGAGGCAGCAGUGGGGAAUAUUGCACAAUGGGCGCAAGCCUGACGCAGCGACGCCGCGUGAGGGAUGACGGCCUUCGGGUUGUAAACCUCUUUCAGCUAUGACGAAGCGCAAGUGACGGUAGUAGCGGAGGAAGGACCGGCCAACUACGUGCCAGCCGCCGCGGUAA